Long non-coding RNA from Vidua chalybeata, 846 nucleotides. RefSeq lists it as uncharacterized. The transcript has 3 exons. Lineage: Eukaryota; Metazoa; Chordata; Aves; Passeriformes; Viduidae. The record is from RefSeq and is a predicted model, not a curated record.
GGGGGAGCGGCCGAAGCGAGCGGGGCGGUGCCUGUGGAAUCACCUCGGCAGCGCGGCCGGGCUCGUUCCUUUUGCGCCCCCGCCGCCGUGAGGACAAGGAGCGGCUCUGGGCUCUGGCGGGCCGGGCUCCCUCAGCUCGCCGCCGUGAGGGCAAGGAGCGGCUCUGGGCUCUGGCGGGCCGGGCUCCCUCAGCUCGCCGCCGUGAGGGCAAGGAGCGGCUCUGGCGGGCCGGGCUCCCUCAGCUCGCCGCCGAGAGGGCAAGGAGCGACUCUGGCGGGCCGGGUCCCCUCGCCAUGAGGGGCCACCGCCGCCAUGAGGCCUUCGGCCGAUGGGGGAAUCGCGGUGACCCGCAGCCGUGGGGGGCGGGAGCCGCCCGAAGGAGCAGCCCUGAGGUGGCCCGGCCGCGCCGUGUGUGAAACCCCCGAGCUGUGCUGUGCUGGGACAGCCAAGGAGGCUCUCCAGGAGGGCACUAGAGCCUGCGGAGAGAUGUGAAGGGAUAACCUGCCUAUGAGACAAAGGGAGAGCUCUGGAGCCACGUGGGUGAGGUAAAUUGUUGGUGUGGGGCUUGCUGGAGCAGCAGGAGUGGUCAGAAGUAAAGCUGUCAAGGCUGCUUUGAAGAGCCUUGUUUGAAAGGCAUUGGGAAGAUGGAAACCUGGAGCCAAUAGUUUAAACAGGGCAGCUGGAGAAGAAUUUGUUUUCAGAAUGUGGAUGUAGAAUUGGAAAAAUCAAAGGUGGUUUGGGGCAAGAUAUAACAACAAUUAUGUGUACAAUUCAUUGUUAAUCUCCUCUCAUUGCUUGUUGGAAAUACAUUUUUAUAUGACCUCAAUUAAAUGUAUUUAUAUUUAA